RNAcentral lists this ribosomal RNA (26 nucleotides) under Boehmeria virgata var. scabrella. RNAcentral describes it as "Boehmeria macrophylla var. scabrella partial 28S ribosomal RNA". The record is from RNAcentral. Lineage: Eukaryota; Viridiplantae; Streptophyta; Magnoliopsida; Rosales; Urticaceae.
GCGCUGCCGAAGGACGUUGCAGAAAA